This 515-nucleotide ribosomal RNA is filed under the name uncultured bacterium. RNAcentral's name for it is "bacterial SSU rRNA". It matches the Rfam family "Bacterial small subunit ribosomal RNA", at positions 28 to 556 of the family's 1533-position model. The record is from RNAcentral.
AAUCAACGCUGGCGGCGUGCCUCAGACAUGCAAGUCGAACGAUUAAGACUCCCUUCGGGGAGUGCAUAAAGUGGCGCACGGGUGAGUAACACGUAAGUAAUCUACCUUUGAGUGGGGAAUAACCCGGGGAAACCCGGGCUAAUACCGCAUAACGCAGCGGCACCGCAAGGUGACAGUUGUUAAAGGAGCAAUCCGCUUGAAGAGGAGCUUGCGGCAGAUUAGCUAGUUGGUAAGGUAAUGGCUUACCAAGGCUACGAUCUGUAUCCGGUCUAAGAGGACGGUCGGACACACUGACACUGAAUAACGGGUCAGACUCCUACGGGAGGCAGCAGUCGGGGAUUUGGGCAAUGGGCGAAAGCCUGACCCAGCAACGCCGCGUGAAGGAUGAAGUAUUUCGGUAUGUAAGCUUCGAAAGAAUGGGAAGAAUAAAUGACGGUACCAUUUAUAAGCUCCGGCUAACUACGUGCCAGCAGCCGCGGUCAUACGUAGGGAGCAAGCGUUGUUCGGAUUUACGU